This is a small nucleolar RNA of Neogale vison (American mink), 91 nucleotides long. Its record names the gene SNORD26. It matches the Rfam family "Small nucleolar RNA SNORD26". Rfam says of the family: U26 is a member of the C/D class of snoRNA which contain the C (UGAUGA) and D (CUGA) box motifs. U26 is encoded within the U22 snoRNA host gene (UHG) in mammals and is thought to act as a 2'-O-ribose methylation guide for ribosomal RNA. Lineage: Eukaryota; Metazoa; Chordata; Mammalia; Carnivora; Mustelidae. The record is from Ensembl.
CUACGGGGAUGAUACUUAACUUGAACUCUCUCUUUCUGAUGAUCUCAUGGAUUGUGAGAUUGAGGCCACAUCAGGCUCUGUGUUCAGUGGA